GCCCCAACCAUAAUCAUUCUUUUUUGUUUAUCAGCAUUAAUAAAUAUUUCCACCACCCGAUCAUCAUUCAAACAAGCAGGAAGCUCUUGUAAGAAAACUUGCAAACAUGAUGCGGCAAGGAUGGGAGAGUUCUCUUGAAGAGCAAAUUCCAUGAGUUCUACAGCAUCUUCCACCGAGGAAACCAAAGAAGCAAGUUUCCUAUCGCAUGCAUCUUUUAGUCUUUCACAACAGAACUUAUUUGCAAAAGGCAAUAUUUCUAACAAAACAUUUGGAGAGACUUUGUUCAAACUCCCUGUCACACUGAAUUCACUUAUUGCCCUAAAACCUAAA
Molecule: unclassified non-coding RNA, 330 nt
Filed under: Hevea brasiliensis (rubber tree)
Lineage: Eukaryota; Viridiplantae; Streptophyta; Magnoliopsida; Malpighiales; Euphorbiaceae
Source: RNAcentral